RNAcentral lists this non-coding RNA (28 nucleotides) under Homo sapiens (human). The record is from RNAcentral. Lineage: Eukaryota; Metazoa; Chordata; Mammalia; Primates; Hominidae.
GAAAGGUCGUGAUCCACCAGCAGGAAGC